UACCCCAGCCUCACCAGCCCAAAGACUCCUUGUCCCUUCUGACCUCAGAAGCCAAGUGGGGUUAGGGUGCGUUCACUACUUGGAUGAGAGUAUUGUGGCUUUUCCUUAAGGUAAGGCAUACUGCUAGGGAGU
Ribosomal RNA from Bison bison bison, 132 nucleotides. The record is from Ensembl. Lineage: Eukaryota; Metazoa; Chordata; Mammalia; Artiodactyla; Bovidae.